GUUUGAUUCUGGCUCAGGAUGAACGCUAGCUACAGGCUUAACACAUGCAAGUCGAGGGGCAGCAUUUUAGUUUGCUUGCAAACUGAAGAUGGCGACCGGCGCACGGGUGAGUAACACGAAUCCAACCUGCCGAUAACUCCGGAAUAGCCUUUCGAAAGAAAGAUUAAUACCGGAUAGUAUACGAAUAUCGCAUGAUAUUUUUAUUAAAGAAUUUCGGUUAUCGAUGGGGAUGCGUUCCAUUAGUUUGUUGGCGGGGUAACGGCCCACCAAGACUACGAUGGAUAGGGGUUCUGAGAGGAAGGUCCCCCACAUUGGAACUGAGACACGGUCCAAACUCCUACGGGAGGCAGCAGUGAGGAAUAUUGGUCAAUGGGCGAGAGCCUGAACCAGCCAAGUAGCGUGAAGGAUGAAGGCUCUAUGGGUCGUAAACUUCUUUUAUAUGGGAAUAAAGUUUUCCACGUGUGGAAUUUUGUAUGUACCAUAUGAAUAAGGAUCGGCUAACUCCGUGCCAGCAGCCGCGGUAAUACGGAGGAUCCGAGCGUUAUCCGGAUUUAUUGGGUUUAAAGGGAGCGUAGGUGGAUUGUUAAGUCAGUUGUGAAAGUUUGCGGCUCAACCGUAAAAUUGCAGUUGAAACUGGGAGUCUUGAGUACAGUAGAGGUGGGCGGAAUUCGUGGUGUAGCGGUGAAAUGCUUAGAUAUCACGAAGAACUCCGAUUGCGAAGGCAGCUCACUAGACUGUCACUGACACUGAUGCUCGAAAGUGUGGGUAUCAAACAGGAUUAGAUACCCUGGUAGUCCACACAGUAAACGAUGAAUACUCGCUGUUUGCGAUAUACAGUAAGCGGCCAAGCGAAAGCAUUAAGUAUUCCACCUGGGGAGUACGCCGGCAACGGUGAAACUCAAAGGAAUUGACGGGGGCCCGCACAAGCGGAGGAACAUGUGGUUUAAUUCGAUGAUACGCGAGGAACCUUACCCGGGCUUAAAUUGCAACAGAAUAUAUUGGAAACAGUAUAGCCGUAAGGCUGUUGUGAAGGUGCUGCAUGGUUGUCGUCAGCUCGUGCCGUGAGGUGUCGGCUUAAGUGCCAUAACGAGCGCAACCCUUAUCUUUAGUUACUAACAGGUCAUGCUGAGGACUCUAGAGAGACUGCCGUCGUAAGAUGUGAGGAAGGUGGGGAUGACGUCAAAUCAGCACGGCCCUUACGUCCGGGGCUACACACGUGUUACAAUGGGGGGUACAGAAGGCGGCUACCUGGUGACAGGAUGCUAAUCCCAAAAACCUCUCUCAGUUCGGAUCGAAGUCUGCAACCCGACUUCGUGAAGCUGGAUUCGCUAGUAAUCGCGCAUCAGCCAUGGCGCGGUGAAUACGUUCCCGGGCCUUGUACACACCGCCCGUCAAGCCAUGAAAGCCGGGGGUACCUGAAGUACGUAACCGCAAGGAGCGUCCUAGGGUAAAACUGGUAAUUGGGGCUAAGUCGUAACAAGGUACCC
RNAcentral lists this ribosomal RNA (1487 nucleotides) under uncultured bacterium. Its description in RNAcentral is "16S ribosomal RNA". It matches the Rfam family "Bacterial small subunit ribosomal RNA". The record is from RNAcentral.